RNAcentral lists this signal recognition particle RNA (287 nucleotides) under Branchiostoma floridae (Florida lancelet). RNAcentral's name for it is "Metazoan signal recognition particle RNA". It matches the Rfam family "Metazoan signal recognition particle RNA". From Rfam's summary of the family: The signal recognition particle (SRP) is a universally conserved ribonucleoprotein. It is involved in the co-translational targeting of proteins to membranes. The record is from Rfam by way of RNAcentral. Lineage: Eukaryota; Metazoa; Chordata; Leptocardii; Amphioxiformes; Branchiostomatidae.
GCCGUCAGCAGCGCGUAGUUUGUGGCGCUCCACUACUACUUCCUGGAGGCUGGGUGGUGGAUCGCCUGAGGCCGGCGCGCUGUGUGUGCUAUGACGAUCGGGCGACUCGCUAAGUUCGGCAUUGAUAAGGUUACCCCGGGAGUCUACAGGUCGUUCUGUUAAAAGAGGGACACACCGACCCAGGUUGGAAACAACGCAGGUAAAAGUCCCCGUGUCGAUCCGAGGAGCAGGAUCGCGCCCGUGAAUAGGCGUCUCAGCCCGACCAGCAUAGUGGGACCCAACUAUUU